This 537-nucleotide ribosomal RNA is filed under the name Physiculus fulvus (hakeling). RNAcentral's name for it is "partial 16S ribosomal RNA". It matches the Rfam family "Bacterial large subunit ribosomal RNA", at positions 157 to 1050 of the family's 2925-position model. Lineage: Eukaryota; Metazoa; Chordata; Actinopteri; Gadiformes; Moridae. The record is from RNAcentral.
AUCCGCCUAACAGCUAGCCUAAACCAAACUUAAGAUUUACAUAAAGUUAAGACUUAAAAUAACUAAAACAAAUCAUUUUAACACCUUAGUAUGGGCGACAGAAAAGGAAAAUAGAGCCAUAGAAAAAGUACCGCAAGGGAAAGCUGAAAAAGAAAUGAAACAAACCAUUUAAGCCUAGAAUAGCAAAGCUUAUAACUUGUACCUUUUGCAUCAUGAUUUAGCAAGUAAAGCACAAGCAAAGAGCCCUUUAGUUUGUGACCCCGAAACUGAGCGAGCUACUUCAAGACAGCCUAUAAUUAUUUAGGGCAAACCCGUCUCUGUGGCAAUAGAGUGGGGAGAGCUUCAAGUAGAGGUGAUAAGCCUACCGAGCACAGUUAUAGCUGGUUGCCUGAGAAAUGAAUAGGAGUUCAGCCCUUUAAGUUUCCCUCAUCCCACAAGUUAUUACAUAAUUUGAUAAAGGAAAUUAAAGGAGUUAAUCAAAAGGGGCACAGCUCUUUUGAUAAAAGAAACAACUUUUACAGGUGGUUCAAGAUCAUA